UACGGGGGGGGCAAGCGUUGUUCGGAAUUACUGGGCGUAAAGGGCUCGUAGGCGGCCAACUAAGUCGGAUGUGAAAUCCCCAGGCUUAACCUGGGAACUGCAUCCGAUACUGGAUGGCUUGAAUCCGGGAGGGGGAUGCAGAAUUCCAGGUGUAGCGGUGAAAUGCGUAGAUAUCGCUUGGAACGCCGACGGUGAAAACAGUCUGCUGGGGGUGUGCUGACGCUGAGACACGAAAGCGUGGGGAUCAAACAGG
RNAcentral lists this ribosomal RNA (253 nucleotides) under uncultured bacterium. RNAcentral's name for it is "partial 16S ribosomal RNA". It matches the Rfam family "Bacterial small subunit ribosomal RNA", at positions 524 to 776 of the family's 1533-position model. The record is from RNAcentral.